RNAcentral lists this ribosomal RNA (407 nucleotides) under uncultured bacterium. RNAcentral describes it as "partial 16S ribosomal RNA". It matches the Rfam family "Bacterial small subunit ribosomal RNA", at positions 30 to 526 of the family's 1533-position model. The record is from RNAcentral.
AUUGAACGCUGGCGGCAGGCCUAACACAUGCAAGUCGAGAGGAGCGGCGGACGGGUGAGUAAUGCCUAGGAAUCUGCCUGGUAGUGGGGGAUAACGUCCGGAAACGGGCGCUAAUACCGCAUACUAUCAGAUGAGCCUAGGUCGGAUUAGCUAGUGGGUGGGGUAAAGGACUACAAAGGCGACGAUCCGUAACUGGUGUGAGAGGAUGAUCAGUCACACUGGAACUGGUAAAUGGUCUAGACUCCUACGGGAGGCAGCAGUGGGGAAUAUUGGACAAGGGGCGAAAGCCUGAUCCAGCCAUUCCGCGUGUGUGAAGAAGGUCUUCGGAUUGUAAAGCACUUUAAGUUGGGAGGCGUUACCAACAGAGUAAGCACCGGCUAACUUCGUACCAGCAGCCGCGGUAAUUC